GUCCAGCUGACGAGUCCCAAACAGGACGAAACGCGCGUCCUGGAU
Schistosoma mansoni is the source of this 45-nucleotide non-coding RNA. The record is from Rfam. NCBI's taxonomy places the organism in Eukaryota, Metazoa, Platyhelminthes, Trematoda, Strigeidida, Schistosomatidae.